RNAcentral lists this long non-coding RNA (242 nucleotides) under Lathyrus oleraceus (garden pea). RNAcentral describes it as "Pisum sativum (pea) long non-coding RNA (PSAT_LNC009211)". Lineage: Eukaryota; Viridiplantae; Streptophyta; Magnoliopsida; Fabales; Fabaceae. The record is from RNAcentral.
UACCUUCUUAACUAUAAAUGGCCCUUCGUAUGUGGGAGUCCAUUUGCCUCUGGGAUCACCUUGUGGUAGAGUGAUACGCUUGAUCACCAAGUCGCCAAUUUGAUACACCUGUCUCUUGACCUUUUUGUUAAACGCCUGGGUCAUGCGCUUCUGAUAUAUCUGCCCAUGACAAACAACCGCAAGUCUCUUUUCAGCAAUCAAAUUUAUUUGAUCGAGUCGAGUCUGAAUCCAUUCAUCUUCAU